GGCAGCCAGUUUCCACAGUAGAGCCUCCUCAGUCAUCUGUUGCUACCAUACAUUUAUAUGAAGGACAAUUUGUGGAGAAGGAAAUGGUAGCAACAAAAGCCAUAAAAAUUUAAUGCGGCCUGCCCUAUUACAAAUAUUUCUUUUAAUAUUGGGGUACAGUAGAAGGCUCCAAGCCCUUGCAAAAGUAGAGGGAUUUGUUUUAUGACUUUCUUAACUUAUUUCAAAUUUGUCAUAUAUGUUGAUAUUUUCAUGAAAUUGUGUAAAAAAUGUUGGUUUUUCAUAAAUCUGGGUCAUAUAGCAAGUUCUACAGAGAAGAAAAAGCUUCCAUAGUUCUAUAGCAUCAAAAACAACACUGUAAUUGUAAUGAUAUAGAACAUCUGCUUACUUUUGUCCAGGACUCCAUCCCCUUAUUUGGCCAAGUUAGACAAUCCUGAUUCUAAUGCAGACAUUCCAGUCCCCAUGGUCAGAAGCUCUUCAAUCAGGUGAAACACCAGGAACAACAGAGGAAACUGUACCAUCAAAGGAUGACAGUACUAUGAUAGUCACAGACUUGACAAAACUGCAGUAAAAACAGGUCAGCAUGUUAGCAAAACUGGAUGAAUACAAAAAACUGGAACUUGGCCAUAUACUUCUACAGUAAAACUAUGCAGUCAUAUGGAGUUUGGAACUUCACUCUCAGACCAAGGGGGAUAACUCCAUAUUGAAUAAGAUCAUGGACACCUGUCAUCACUGAAACUUCACAACUUUAUUUGGAAUCAUCUUCACUUUUGAAAAUACAGAUGAGCCAGUUGUCUGAUUACUGAUGAUCCUGGAGUUACAUAUCACCCAACCCGCCUUAGACUGUAGUAUUACAGAGUGUCCGAUACCAUGAUUCCCUAUGUGUGGGCUCUAGCGGGGAAGUUCCUGUGCCAGUCCUAUUAACAGCCAGGGUCAUAUAAAGACUUGCCAGGUUUUGGAGUUGGAGGAAAGCUUUUUUAAGAGUACCCAGAUAAAAACCACUGGUCUACGGUCAGUACCAGGCAACUGCCCUGUGUGGGUUUUGAACUCGCAACCCAGAGGUGGAGGGCUUAGUGAUAAUUUGUCAGGACAACUUAACCACUCGGCCACCAAAGGUAUAGGAGAUCCAUUGGUUGUGGGAGUCAUAUGUGGAAAGCUAGAUCCUGAUGACAGUAUUUGAAGUCUGAUGUAGCAUAUUUCAUCUUAAGCAUAAUUACUGCUGCUGCUGGAAUGGACGUGUUUUCAACUGUUUAAUUUACACAUUUACCAGGAAAGGAAACAUGCACGGCCAAACUGAGGUUUGAACCCGGGACCUCCGAACACUAGGCAGAUGCUGAUGAUCAGCCCAGUCCAGUCCCACUACAUUCCUCCCUCCUUCAACAAAGUCUUUGACCCUAUUCCACCUCCGUGGGUAUUUAGUUGAGUGCCAAAUGUAACACGAGAGGAAAUAUAUACGGCCAGACCAGGGUUCGCACCACGGACCUUUGAACACUAGCCGAAUUAUGCUCUCAAAUUGAGCUACCUGGUCACCGACCAUCAACCUGGACCAGUUCCGCUACAUUUAUAUAGGUAUGUUAAUGACCUAUAUCAACAGAUUUUAACAUGUUUUCUUAUUUAAUUAUAUCUUUAUGAAAGUGUAUAUACAUGUUUUACUUGAUAAUAAAUUGUUUUAAACGAAAUAAACAGAUCACAAAGUC
Molecule: long non-coding RNA, 1694 nt
Organism: Pecten maximus
Lineage: Eukaryota; Metazoa; Mollusca; Bivalvia; Pectinida; Pectinidae
Exons: 7
Source: RefSeq, a predicted model, not a curated record